CCUGUUUACAAGAGUUUUAGAUUGCAUUUCUCUGGAAUGACCACAGCAAUAUUUCCAGCCCUUGAUGAUCUUCUAGAACUUUGCCACUUCCCUGCAUCAAGAGGUAUAACCUCAUCCUGGAGCAGGGCACCCUAUCGUCAGAUGGUAUCAUCUUUAAGGGGUUGUCUCAGCCAUGCCUUUAGAAUUACCUUUCAUUGCUUGUCAUGCUGGAAGCUUCUGAAUGUUGCAUUUUGUGAUAGAAACAGUGGGUACCAUGGUCAUGUGCUCACAUCUCCUUUGCGGUAAAGAAAAGGAUCACUCAUUAACAUCCACCAGAUAACAUUCUCCAUGAAAGCACCAAAUAAGGUUUGUCUUGGUCCAUUUUAUGCUGCUAUAACAGAACACCACAGACUGAGAAAUUUAUAAGGAAUAGAAGUUUAUUUGCCUCAUGUUUCUGGAGGCUGGGAAUUCCAAGAUCAAGGGGCUGCAUAGAUUGAGGUCCUUUUUGCUGACUCAUAACGUGGAAAGAGAGUGCACUGCAUAGAAGAAAGGAGGCCAAACUCAUUCUUUUAUCAUGAGCCUACUCCUGAAAUAACUCACUCUCAAGAUAAUGGCAUUAAUCCAUUCAUGAAGGCAGAAUACUCAUGAUGUAAUCACCUCUUAAAAGGUCCUAUUUCCUAACACUGUUGCAUUAGGGAUUAAGCUGUCAACACAUGAAUAUUGGGGGACACAUUCAAACCAUAGCAAGAGUUCUUUGUCUUUGUGACUCGGUGUGGUUCAGCAAAUUGCGAUUGGUCUGCUAUAGCGGACUUUCCCCUCACCUCCCAAAUGUUUAUUAUGAAAAAUUUCAUUUUAAAGAAAGGUGGAAGGAAUUGUUGAAAGAAUAUGUCAUCUAGUUUCUACUGUUGUUAACAUUGUGUCAUAUUUGCCUUUUCAUCCAUCCAACCACCCAUCCAUCUAGCUACCUUAUAAUUACUAUUAUUACUUAUUAUUACUAUUAUUUUUAAAGACACCUCUAUUAAAGCAACCAUCUUAUUUUUUGAUUUUAUUUAUUUUCAAAGUUAGUUGCAGACAUUAGUAUACUUUACUCCUAGACAUUUUAGCGUGAACAUAAUUAACUGGAGUAUAAUACUUGUUUUCAAUUUCUUUUUAUUUUUGAGGUAAAAUUUACAUACAGUGAAAUCCAAAUCUUAAGUGUACCACUAGAUAAAUUUUGAUAAAUGCAUUAUGCCUGGUCUUCACACACCCUUUUCAAUAUAUAGAAAAUUUCCAGAUAAUUUAUUUUGUUGUUUUUUUCACACACUAAGUUCUAGACUUUUCCAGGUCCGAGGGAACUAUUAGGGGGGAAAGUACUUGUUAUAGUAAAAAAGAUUUUAGGUGUGUUUGUUUUUAAGGUGCAGAAACACAUCGCAGAUUAAGGUCUGCAUCUCUGCUUUUUGUUAUUGUUCCAGUUUGAUCUCAGUGACAUUACAAGCAAGCAGAAACACUCAGACAUGAAAUGGCCAGUGCCUGUGAGUUAAGAGCAGGAUCUAGGUCUAUUUUUUUGAUAUGUAUCUCAACUACCUGGAAUACUUUAUACUUUUGGCACUCAAUAAAUAUUUGUUGCUGCCAGACGAUCUGCC
RNAcentral lists this long non-coding RNA (1601 nucleotides) under Homo sapiens (human). RNAcentral describes it as "non-protein coding lnc-CTAGE5-8:13". The record is from RNAcentral. Lineage: Eukaryota; Metazoa; Chordata; Mammalia; Primates; Hominidae.